This 383-nucleotide ribosomal RNA is filed under the name uncultured bacterium. Its description in RNAcentral is "bacterial SSU rRNA". It matches the Rfam family "Archaeal small subunit ribosomal RNA", at positions 339 to 726 of the family's 1478-position model. The record is from RNAcentral.
GCGCGAAAACUUUACAAUGCGGGAAACCGUGAUAAGGGAACUCCGAGUGUCCGUAAAUUCGGACUGUCCGUAUGUUUAAAAAGCAUACGAAGAAAGGGCCGGGCAAGACCGGUGCCAGCCGCCGCGGUAAUACCGGCGGCUCGAGUGGUGGCCACUAUUACUGGGCUUAAAGCGUUCGUAGCUUGGUUGUUAAGUCUCCUGGGAAAUCUAUCGGCUUAACCGAUAGGCGUCCAGGGGAUACUGGCAAUCUAGGGACCGGGAGAGGUGAGGGGUACUUCAGGGGUAGGAGUGAAAUCCUGUAAUCCUUGGGGGACCACCUGUGGCGAAGGCGCCUCACCAGAACGGCUCCGACAGUGAGGGACGAAAGCUGGGGGAGCAAACCG